ACGAACGCUGGCGGCGUGCUUAACACAUGCAAGUCGAACGGAAAGGCCCCUUUGGGGGUACUCGAGUGGCGAACGGGUGAGUAACACGUGAGUAACCUGCCCUUGACUUCGGGAUAACUUCAGGAAACUGGGGCUAAUACCGGAUAGGAAUCCUUGCUGCAUGGUGGGGGUUGGAAAGCUUCGGCGGUUUUGGAUGGACUCGCGGCUUAUCAGCUUGUUGGUGGGGUAGUGGCUUACCAAGGCUUUGACGGGUAGCCGGCCUGAGAGGGCGACCGGCCACAUUGGGACUGAGAUACGGCCCAGACUCCUACGGGAGGCAGCAGUGGGGAAUAUUGCACAAUGGGCGGAAGCCUGAUGCAGCAACGCCACGUGCGGGAUGACGGCCUUCGGGUUGUAAACCGCUUUCAGCAGGGGCGAAGCUUGUGGUGACGGUACCUGCAGAAGAAGCACCGGCUAACUACGUG
Molecule: ribosomal RNA, 464 nt
Filed under: uncultured bacterium
Lineage: Bacteria
Description: partial 16S ribosomal RNA
Rfam family: Bacterial small subunit ribosomal RNA
Source: RNAcentral